Molecule: ribosomal RNA, 1501 nt
Filed under: uncultured Leuconostoc sp.
Lineage: Bacteria; Bacillati; Bacillota; Bacilli; Lactobacillales; Lactobacillaceae
Description: partial 16S ribosomal RNA
Rfam family: Bacterial small subunit ribosomal RNA
Source: RNAcentral
UUAGAGUUUGAUCAUGGCUCAGGAUGAACGCUGGCGGCGUGCCUAAUACAUGCAAGUCGAACGCACAGCGAAAGGUGCUUGCACCUUUCAAGUGAGUGGCGAACGGGUGAGUAACACGUGGACAACCUGCCUCAAGGCUGGGGAUAACAUUUGGAAACAGAUGCUAAUACCGAAUGAAACUUAGUGUCGCAUGAUACGAAGUUAAAAGGCGCUUUGGCGUCACCUAGAGAUGGAUCCGCGGUGCAUUAGUUAGUUGGUGGGGUAAAGGCCUACCAAGACAAUGAUGCAUAGCCGAGUUGAGAGACUGAUCGGCCACAUUGGGACUGAGACACGGCCCAAACUCCUACGGGAGGCUGCAGUAGGGAAUCUUCCACAAUGGGCGAAAGCCUGAUGGAGCAACGCCGCGUGUGUGAUGAAGGCUUUCGGGUCGUAAAGCACUGUUGUAUGGGAAGAACAGCUAGAAUAGGGAAUGAUUUUAGUUUGACGGUACCAUACCAGAAAGGGACGGCUAAAUACGUGCCAGCAGCCGCGGUAAUACGUAUGUCCCGAGCGUUAUCCGGAUUUAUUGGGCGUAAAGCGAGCGCAGACGGUUGAUUAAGUCUGAUGUGAAAGCCCGGAGCUCAACUCCGGAAUGGCAUUGGAAACUGGUUAACUUGAGUGCAGUAGAGGUAAGUGGAACUCCAUGUGUAGCGGUGGAAUGCGUAGAUAUAUGGAGGAACACCAGUGGCGAGCGGCUUACUGACUGUAACUGACGUUGAGGCUCGAAAGUUGUGGGUAGCAAACAGGAUUAGAUACCCUGGUAGUCCCACCGUAAACGAUGAACACUAGGUGUAGGAGGUUCCGCUCUUAGUGCCGAAGCUAACGCAUUAAGUGUUCCGCCUGGGGAGUACGACCGCAAGGUUGAAACUCAAAGGAAUUGACGGGGGCCCGCACAAGCGGAGGAACAUGUGGUUUAAUUCGAUGAUACGCGAGGAACCUUACCUGGGCUUAAAUGGGAGCAGACGGAUUUGGAAACAGGUCUUUCUUCGGACUGCUUUCAAGGUGCUGCAUGGUUGUCGUCAGCUCGUGCCGUGAGGUGUCGGGUUAAGUCCCAUAACGAGCGCAACCCCUACCGAUAGUUACCAUCAGGUCAAGCUGGGGACUCUAUCGGGACUGCCACCGUAAGGUGCGAGGAAGGCGGGGAUGACGUCAAAUCAGCACGGCCCUUAUGUCCAGGGCUACACACGUGUUACAACGGCCGGUACAGAGGGCAGCUACCCUGCGAGGGGAUGCUAAUCUUAUAAAUCCGGUCUCAGUUCGGAUCGAAGUCUGCAACCCGACUUCGUGAAGCUGGAUUCGCUAGUAAUCGCGCAUCAGCCAUGGCGAGGUGAAUACGUUCCCGGGCCUUGUACACACCGCCCGUCAAACCAUGGGAGUUGGGGGUACCUGAAGUCUGUUACCGUAAGGAGCGGCCUAGGGUAAAACCGAUGACUGGGGUUAAGUCGUAACAAGGUAGCCGUAU